AAACCAAGGAAGAAAAAUUGAAGCCGACAUUUGGCAAGCAGAAUAACAUCUUUGUUUCGCCGCCAACAGCACGGAAUCAUGGAGACUCCAUCGAGUGGACGUGGUCAUACACCUUUUGACACAUGGACCAGUGACGUCUGGCUCUCCUGGCACCUGGAGAACUUGGCCUGGAAGCUAGAAUCCUGUGUAUCCUGGCAUUACCGCCGUGUGCCCACCAGUCUUCACAGUUUUAUAUCCUGCACGUCCAGAAGGUACAAAACAAGAAAGAAAAAUUGAAGCCGACAUUUGGGAAGCAGAAUGACAUCUUUGUUUCGCCGCCAACAGCACAGAAUCAUGGAGACUCCAUCGAGUGGACGUGGUCAUACACCUUUUGACACAUGGACCAGUGACGUCUGGCUCUCCUGGCACCUGGAGAACUUGGCCUGGAAGCUAGAAUCCUGUGUAUCCUGACAUUACCGCCGUGUGCCCACCAGACUUCACAGUUUUAUAUCCUGCACGUCCAGAAGCACGGAAUCAUGGAGACUCCAUCGAGUGGACGUGGUCAUACACCUUUUGACACAUGGACCAGUGACGUCUGGCUCUCCUGGCACCUGGAGAACUUGGCCUGGAAGCUAGAAUCCUGUGUAUCCUGGCAUAACCGCCGUGUGCCCACCAGACUUCACAGUUUUAUAUCCUGCACGUCCAGAAGGCACUAUUGUGGAAGAUUUAAAGAGUGUGGACUAUAUGCUAGAAAUACUGGUGGUGGGUAGUGUUGAGAAGAAGGGAUUCCUAUGGCCAAGAUCCUCAUUGAACUUCAACCACUUUUUGAUGUAACUGGCCUUUUGCUAGGGUACGGCUUCAACAGAGAAACUCAAAUAGGAAGCUCUGAGCUCAGUGUAUAUGUUAACACCUAUGGAUGCCUCCUGUAUACAACUGGAAGUAGAAACAGUGGAAGAAUUGGUAAAGCCUAGGUUCAGCCAUCAGAAUAACUUGUUCCUGACUGUGCCAACUCUACAGAAUCCUGGAGACGCCAUUGGGUGGACGUGGCCAUGCACCUUUUGACACAUGGACCAAUGAUGUCUGGCUCUCCUAGCACCUUGAGGACAUGGCCUGGAAGCUGGUCUCCUGUGUAUCCUCGCAUAACAGCAGGGGGGCCACCAAAGAUAACAGUAUUAUAUCCUGAACCUCCAGAGGUAGGAGCAUCUUAUCGGGGUCUUUUGUUUUAUUAUUCUGGACAUGGCCUGGAAGCUGGCCUCAUUUCUAUUACUCUCAUAAUAGCUGAGUGGCCACAAUCGCUCACAGUAACUUAUCCUGAAUGGUGAAAGGUAGGAGCAUCCUACUUGGAGGUCUGUUUCAUCACUAUGGCCUGUGCAUGCACCCCCAGUAGCACUACACAUAUAGACUCUUCAGUAACCCCCAUGGGGAAAAAAGUAAAAGUAUGUUAUACUAGACCUUGAAGGAACCGCCUGCCUGCAGGAGUCCUAUCACAGAUCCACUCUGAUGCAUGCAUUCUAACUGCAGAACAAGAUUUGCCUUUGCUGGUGGCUUUAAAACAUCUGCUUCUCACCCCUGAAGUCUUCAUGCACUGAGAACUUCCUCUGGCUUGAGGAUUAUAAUAACUUUUGUUAUUAGGAACCUAAUCUGCCAUGAGAAUUAUUACAAUUUUUGUUAAGUAUAUCAAAAUACUGCUAUAUCUUAAUUUUUAUUAUCACUAAGUGACUAUUAUCUUAUCCUGCUACUUUCACAUGUGUUUACAUUUCUCCAGUUUUUUUGCGCAGGGACCAUUGCAGAUGAUUUAAAUAGUGUGGAUUAAAAGGUGAGAAUACUGGAGGGGGGAGUGUGGGGAAGAUGGGGUUCCUAUGGCCAGGAUCCUCACUGAUCUUCAACCACUUUGUGAUGUAACUGUCCUGUUGCUAGGCUACAUCUUCAACCAUGAAACACAAAAAGAAACCCAGAGCUCAGUGUACGUGUUAACACCUAUAGAUGCCUCCCCUAUACAACUGCAAGUAGAAACCAAGGAAGAAAAACUGAAGCCGAGGUUUGGCAACCAGAAUAACGUCUUCCUUUCACCACCAAUAUCACAGAUGCACCGAGACUCCAUUGAGUGGACGUGGUCAUACACUUUUUGACACAUGGACCAGUGAUGUUGGGCUCUCCUGGAACCUUGAGUACAUGGCCCUGAAGCUAGCCUACUGUGUACCCUGGCAUAACUGGCGUGAGGCCACCAAAGAUCACAGUAUUAUAUCCUGCAUGCCCAGAAGGUUGGAGGGUCUUACCGGGGAGUUUUUUUUUUAUUGUUAUGGCCUGUGCGUGCACCUCCAGUAGCACUAUAUACAGACCCUUCAGUAACCCCCAUGGGAAAAAAAUUAAAAGUAUGGAACACUAGACAUAGAAGUGACCACCUGCCUUCGGCAUCCCUAUCACUGAUCCACCCUCAUGCAUGCAUCCUACCUGAAGGACAAGAUUUGCCUUUGUUGGUGGCUUUAUAACAUGUGUCAUAUUGUCCCUAAAGUUUUAUGCACUGGGAACUUCCUCUGGCUUGAGGAUUAUUAUAAAUUUUGUUUGUAGGAACCUAACCUGGCUUAAGGAUUAUUAUAAUUUUUGUUAAGUGUUUCAAUAUCUUGCUGUAUCUUAAUUCUUUUUAUCACUAAGUUGCUAUUACCUUUCCUUGCUAUUGUGCCAUGUGUUUACAGUGCUCCAGUUUUUUUGCACAGGGACCAUUGUGAAAGAUUGAAAGCAUGUAGAUUGUAAGGCAAGAAUACUGGAGGGGGGCAGUGUGGGGAAGAUGGGGUUCCUAUGGCAAGGAUCCUCCCUGAACUUAAACUUCUUGAUGAUGAAACUCGUCUUUUGCUAGGCUACUGCUUCCACACCUUUGGGCAAUAAGCUAUUAUUGGACUAUACAAGAGGUUGGCCUGGUGCUCUGAGUGGAGGCAGAGAUGCUAGUGAUCGACCUACCACCGGAGAACAGGCCUGGUAAUAAACCCUUUUACCACAAGAACAUUUUGCUGUCGAUUCCUUUGGUCACACUGAAUCCACUGGGAACUUGCCCAGGGUUGAAACCCAUUGGCAAGACAAUUAAUUGGUUUCGGAAUCUGCCGAGCACUGGUUCCAAGGUUCGCUCCCUAAACGCCCUCCCCCUCGCCUGCCCGCUUGCUGUGCACAUAGGAAGGUUACAGAUCUGGAAGCAGAAAGGUAUAUACUGCUCCCUUUGCCUUUGUUCGGGGCUCAGAACUUUUGGGUGAUUACUCUCCUCUGAUCCCGCCAGUGUGAAAUUAAGCCUCAACACUCCAAGACCUCUGAGUGCUGCUUCGUUUUCCCAUCAGUGAUCCAGUCCAGGUUUUUUUCAGUAUUUUCCAUAACAGGGAGAUUAAGUGACGGACUUGAACAGGCAGAAGGAAGCAUCAGUGAGUCUGAAGAUAAUGCAUUUGAAAGUAUGCAGUUAUGAGGAACAGAAAGAAAGAAAAAUGAACAGUUUGAGGAAUCUG
Manis javanica (Malayan pangolin) is the source of this 3464-nucleotide non-coding RNA. Lineage: Eukaryota; Metazoa; Chordata; Mammalia; Pholidota; Manidae. The record is from RefSeq and is a predicted model, not a curated record.